UCACGAGUUACCAAAAAACUGCUAUCGCAGAGAGCGGGACAUUAGAUUCCGGAGAUGGAGUGCAGAGUGACGACGCUUUUGUAUGUCUUCGUCAUUGUCUUCCGUUGCGCCCACUCAGAAGGACCUGUUAUGCUUUCUACCCCAAGCCACGUAAAUGUAAUCCAAGGAGAUUCUAUUGUAUUGCCUUGCAAUGUUCUGAAUAUCGGUCGCAACGUUCGGGUGUGGAAACAACAACCAACUACACUUUUGUUUUCUGGGGCAAUCACUGUAUUCAAGUCCCCCAAAUUCAGUUUGGUCAAUCAGUCUUCUUUACUCAUAGAAAAUGUUGAACCAGAAGAUGCUGGAGAAUAUAUUUGUCAAAUCAGUAAUCACCCUUUUGUGGAUGUUACUCAUCAGGUUCAUGUUUCAGUCCCAUCGUCUGUUUCUCCUGAUCCUCCUGAUGGGUUAGUAAUCUCACAGAAGGGGGAGAUGGCAACAAUGCGGUGUAAUACGAAAGGAACUCCUAUUCCAAGGGUCACUUGGACAUAUUAUAUUGGAAAUGUGUUGUAUGGAUCACUACCGAGUGGUAUCAGACAGCAUGGUUCUGGUCUUCACAUUGCUUCAACAGACGCACAUCACGCUGGCACUUAUGUCUGCACAGCUGACAAUGGGGUUGGUGAACCUGUAAAAGCCUCUUUUAACCUCACGGUUCAUUAUGCACCAGAGGUACUUGUGAAACCAGAAUGGGCCCACGGGGAUGAAGGCGCAACCGUCGAAUUUCUUUGCACCUCUAAUUCUUUUCCUAUAUCCCAAGUCGCAUGGUUGCAAGGGAAUCUAAAGCAAGGCAAGCUGCUAUUUUCAGACGAUAGAAUUAGUGUGACAGAAAAGAAAACGGCUUCUUCGACAGUUGAAGUUUCUUUAAAAAUACAGAGAAUGCUUCGAAGCGACCUUGGAGCCUAUACAUGUGUUGCAAAUAACUUAGUAGGAAAAUCGUGGAAAACAGUCGAAGUAUCAGGUUUGGCAGAACCUGUUCAGUUACGAGGUCACGAAUCUGGUGAAAGUAGUUUCCUUUUAUUAUGGACAGUAAAAUCUUUUAGUCCUAUAAUUGAAUAUCAGCUGAAGAUUAGAAGACACAAGAGUGGAGAUGAUUGGACGGAUGUUAUGAUUCCCGUUGCGGAAGAUGGUUUUCAACAAAGUCUGUUAUACACUCAGUCGUACAACGUGACGGGACUGGAGCCAGGAUCUCGCUACGAGGCUGUACUUCAAGCACAUAAUGAUUUUGGAUGGAACAGACCAUCUGACACUUUAUACUUCGACGAGAGAAGUUGACUUCCCCAUCUUUGGAACAAGAUGACCCCAAAACGCAGCCCUCUUUAUUGCCCCUUUACGAUAUCGAACUGGAUGUCACAGAUCCAACAUAUUCUAAACAAGGAGCCCAAAGAGAAGCCUGCUUUUAUUCGAUAAUAUUGUUAUCUAUGCUCACUGUCAUGUUAUUCUUCCCUUGACGUCAAUCUUAAAAAUGUCAUUCAUGUUAGAGAAGGCAAGACAUUAGCAAAAUACUCUGCAAGAUGUUUCCGACAACAAGACCCGGAAACAGGACUCCUGUCAUAUGUGUCUUCAGAGAAGAUUGAAGGUAGUGCAUGUAACAGCAGCAUUCAGUUGAUAAUACAUCACCGAGGUGAUUGACUGAUAAACCUAACUUACCUAAACUGCCAGAUAUUAUGAAUGUUCCAUUAUGAACGUUUCGGAUGUCUCUGCAUCAUAUCAUUUUGUUGCCAGUUGUGUGACGAUUGGAAGCCAAAAAUCCAAUGUAAAUUAAUCAUAGUAAGACUCUUCAGAAUAUUGGUUCAGUUUUAUGAAUAACAUAAAUGUAUAAGCUUUUGAAGAAAUAUACUUGUGAAACACAGCUUCCAUCUUGUAAAUGAUUCAAUGAAAUUAUUUUUAAAUCAGAAAAACACAGAAAUUCCUGAAAUAUAAUCAUUAUGAAUAUGUGAAACUUGCAUGACAGCUGAUUCAAGUCCUUUGCGUAAACACUGAAAUUUAUCUAAAAAGGUGUGUGCAUAAUAUUAUGUAAAAUAUUAACAGUUUUAUUUAUUAUGUAUCCAUUGGCCAUAUUAUUUGUACUGAUUUAUAAGUAUCAAAGGUCUAUAAAGCUGUAGCAACGAUUAUUUCAAGAUACUGAUACUGUGAUGUUUAUCUAAAACUUCAUAUUAAAAUAUAAGGCAUUUUGCAGUGCUUAAUGCAGAAAAUAUGCAAUUCCAAUAUUUUUUAGUAAAAUUAUGAAACAAAAAACAGCGAAAUCUUAACAUUUUAUCCGAACAGUUGUAUUAGUUAAUACAUCAAAUUUCUAAAAUAUAACCAAGUAAUUAUCUUGAAUUUAGUUAUAUUUCAUUUCCAAGAUACAUCAAACUUUAUAUAGGAUCAGAUAUAUCCUAAAAUAUUUAUUUAUAUUAUAUAAUUAAAACAAGCUGUUAUUUACGAAAUAUUGUUAACUUAAAUAACAUACUAUUGAUUAUUAAUUCCUUAUUUUUAAAUGAAUAUCUGAAUUCAAAAAUAGUGCAAGAUUUGAGAGAGAUUUAUUUACUUAAAUACUGAAUUCUACUUUCGAAACUAUAUCAUCUUUUGAUUUAGUGGUGAAAAAGUUAUAGCCAUUAAAAUGCUUUUUCCUCCUUUCGUUCUUGAAUUUUUAUUUUUCUCAUAAGAAGUUUCUUCUGCUUUUGUAUAUUGGCUACUUUCGUAUUCAGAUAUGCAUAAUAAAAAGAAUCUUGCCAGCAGAAA
This 2757-nucleotide unclassified non-coding RNA is filed under the name Stegodyphus dumicola. Its description in RNAcentral is "hemicentin-2-like, transcript variant X2". Lineage: Eukaryota; Metazoa; Arthropoda; Arachnida; Araneae; Eresidae. The record is from RNAcentral.